CACCGGCGGCUCGAGUGGUGGCCACUUUUAUUGGGUCUAAAGCGUCCGUAGCCGGCUUGGCAAGUCCCCUGGGAAAUCUGGCGGCUUAACCGUCAGGCGUCCAGAGGAUACUGCCAGGCUUGGGACCGGGAGAGGUGAGAGGUACCUCAGGGGUAGGGGUGAAAUCUUGUGAUCCCUGAGGGACCACCAGUGGCGAAGGCGCCUCACUAGAACGGGUCCGACGGUCAGGGACGAAAGCUGGGGGCACGAACCGG
This 254-nucleotide ribosomal RNA is filed under the name uncultured microorganism. RNAcentral's name for it is "partial 16S ribosomal RNA". It matches the Rfam family "Archaeal small subunit ribosomal RNA", at positions 474 to 727 of the family's 1478-position model. The record is from RNAcentral.